UGAGGAAUAUUGGUCAAUGGACGGAAGUCUGAACCAGCCAAGUAGCGUGCAGGAUGACGGCCCUAUGGGUUGUAAACUGCUUUUGUAUGGGGAUAAAGUCAAUCACGUGUGAUUGUUUGCAGGUACCAUACGAAUAAGGACCGGCUAAUUCCGUGCCAGCAGCCGCGGUAAUACGGAAGGUCCAGGCGUUAUCCGGAUUUAUUGGGUUUAAAGGGAGCGUAGGCUGGAGAUUAAGUGUGUUGUGAAGUGUAGACGCUCAACGUCUGAAUUGCAGCGCAUACUGGUUUCCUUGAGUACGCACAACGUUGGCGGAAUUCGUCGUGUAGCGGUGAAAUGCUUAGAUAUGACGAAGAACUCCGAUUGCGAAGGCAGCUGACGGGAGCGCAACUGACGCUUAAGCUCGAAGGUGCGGGUAUCAAACAGGAUUAGAUACCCUGGUAGUCCGCACAGUAAAACGAUGGAUGCCCGCUGUUGGUACCUGGUAUCAGCGGCUAAGCGAAAGCAUUAAGCAUCCCACCUGGGGAGUACGCCGGCGG
Molecule: ribosomal RNA, 536 nt
Filed under: uncultured bacterium
Lineage: Bacteria
Description: bacterial SSU rRNA
Rfam family: Bacterial small subunit ribosomal RNA
Source: RNAcentral